CAGCAGCUGCACUGCUGGUGCUCUGAGGAUGCUUUCCAUGAUGGAGAUUUCUGAGGGACAGCUUUUGUGGUGUUUGAAAUAUGGGCAUCAUCUCCUCUCUGAAUACCCAGCAGGCUCUUGGAGCACAAGAGGAGCGUGGCUCAGGGACCAGCCUGGAACUAAAGGAGCCAGUUGCAUCAGCAGAAGAGCAGAAGAGAGAGAGGCCUGAAUUCUCCACUGUGCCCAGGAGAAGUGGCGAGCAGGUGGAACCUGACAGGAGAAUCAGAGCUUUUAGGAGACUCUUCCUCCCAGACUACUUCAUGUUCUCUGUCCACAAGUCUGCCCAUCAAAAUUGGUCCACUUUUGAAACAGAAGAGUCCUCCAGUAGCUCAGGAGAGUAGCAGCCCUCGUGCUGAUGCACAGCCUGUGGAGAAGAGGGUGUCCCUGCUGCAGUCACAGCUGGCCCGAGACCGACAGCACCACCUGGAGAGCUGUGCAGGGAGCAGGCAGGAGACACAAGGUGCAGAAGGGACCUCCUUGCUUCCUGAACAUCUCAGAGAGGAGCCAGCUGGAUGCAGUUUUAGACGUAGUCAGUAGUUUAUGUUUAAAGGUUGUAUAGUAUAGGAUAGUAUAGGUAAUAGUAAUUGAACCUUUAUACAACUGUGUUCCAUAGGAUGAAGGAUAUAUUGAUAGAGAAAUAAAGAGUUUAUUCUGAUCACAAUUAAACUAAAAGAUCUUUUUCAGGCUUAUUUACUGCCCAGUACAGAGACCUGUAACUUCCAGUAUAGUGCAUUAUAUCUGAAACAACAUUGAAGCAAUUCCAGUCAAGUCAGCAAAAACCAAUUCUUAAAGAUUGAUGCUACUCACCCAAACCCAUGACCAUGGGCAAACCUUUCUCUCAGUCUCAAGGCGUGACCUUGAGGAGCAUCCUCACUCCAGGAAGGAACCUGCAGAAGGGACACAUGUGCCAUGCACCACUUUGGUGAGGG
Long non-coding RNA from Passer montanus (Eurasian tree sparrow), 968 nucleotides. RefSeq lists it as uncharacterized. The record is from RefSeq and is a predicted model, not a curated record. Lineage: Eukaryota; Metazoa; Chordata; Aves; Passeriformes; Passeridae. The transcript is spliced from 3 exons.